Molecule: ribosomal RNA, 492 nt
Filed under: uncultured bacterium
Lineage: Bacteria
Description: partial 16S ribosomal RNA
Rfam family: Bacterial small subunit ribosomal RNA
Source: RNAcentral
AGUGAACGCUGGCGGUAGGCCUAACACAUGCAAGUCGAACGGCAGCACAGUAAGAGCUUGCUCUUACGGGUGGCGAGUGGCGGACGGGUGAGGAAUACAUCGGAAUCUACUUUUUCGUGGGGGAUAACGUAGGGAAACUUACGCUAAUACCGCAUACGACCUACGGGUGAAAGCAGGGGAUCUUCUGACCUUGCGCGAUUGAAUGAGCCGAUGUCGGAUUAGAUAGUUGGCGGGGUAAUGGCCCACCAAGGCGGCGAUCCGUAGCUGGUCUGAGAGGAUGAUCAGCCACACUGGAACUGAGACACGGUCCAGACUCCUACGGGAGGCAGCAGUGGGGAAUAUUGGACAAUGGGCGCAAGCCUGAUCCAGCCAUACCGCGUGGGUGAAGAAGGCCUUCGGGUUGUAAAGCCCUUUUGUUGGGAAAGAAAAGCAGCAGGUUAAUACCCCGCGGUUCUGACGGUACCCAAAGAAUAAGCACCGGCUAACUUCGUG